Non-coding RNA from Paramuricea clavata, 217 nucleotides. NCBI's taxonomy places the organism in Eukaryota, Metazoa, Cnidaria, Anthozoa, Malacalcyonacea, Plexauridae. The record is from the annotation of a GenBank genome assembly.
CGGAGCGGGAACGUUUCGGAUUUGAACUCAGCGCCUGUUCGAAAGUGUUAGUUCCGGUAAAAAUAUUUCAGUUCCAAGAUGGGUGAAAUGAAAGUGAACGAUAUCGGGAUGCAACAAACGGCCUAUAGCAGAAGAGUGCGGGGCAGGUUCGUAAAAAAUUAUUAUCAGUAAAAACGCCAAUAUUGUAUGUAUAAACGCAUUCUUAAUGUUAUGUCGG